UACGUAGGGUGCGAGCGUUGCCCGGAUUUAUUGGGCGUAAAGAGCUCGUAGGCGGCUUGUCACGUCGGGUGUGAAAGCCCGGGGCUUAACCCCGGGUCUGCAUUCGAUACGGGCUAGCUAGAGUGUGGUAGGGGAGAUCGGAAUUCCUGGUGUAGCGGUGAAAUGCGCAGAUAUCAGGAGGAACACCGGUGGCGAAGGCGGAUCUCUGGGCCAUUACUGACGCUGAGGAGCGAAAGCGUGGGGAGCGAACAGG
RNAcentral lists this ribosomal RNA (253 nucleotides) under uncultured bacterium. RNAcentral's name for it is "partial 16S ribosomal RNA". It matches the Rfam family "Bacterial small subunit ribosomal RNA", at positions 524 to 776 of the family's 1533-position model. The record is from RNAcentral.